GUAACGCGUGGGAACGUGCCCCAAGGUACGGAAUAGCCCCGGGAAACUGGGAGUAAUACCGUAUGUGCCCUACGGGGGAAAGAUUUAUCGCCUUGGGAUCGGCCCGCGUUGGAUUAGGUAGUUGGUGGGGUAAUGGCCUACCAAGCCGACGAUCCAUAGCUGGUUUGAGAGGAUGAUCAGCCACACUGGGACUGAGACACGGCCCAGACUCCUACGGGAGGCAGCAGUGGGGAAUCUUAGACAAUGGGCGCAAGCCUGAUCUAGCCAUGCCGCGUGAGCGAUGAAGGCCUUAGGGUUGUAAAGCUCUUUCAGGGGGGAAGAUAAUGACUGUACCCCCAGAAGAAGCCCCGGCUAACUCCGUGCCAGCAGCCGCGGUAAUACGGAGGGGGCUAGCGUUGUUCGGAAUUACUGGGCGUAAAGCGCACGUAGGCGGACUGGAAAGUCAGAGGUGAAAUCCCAGGGCUCAACCUUGGAACUGCCUUUGAAACUCCCGGUCUUGAGGUCGAGAGAGGUGAGUGGAAUUCCGAGUGUAGAGGUGAAA
Molecule: ribosomal RNA, 541 nt
Filed under: Cereibacter ovatus
Lineage: Bacteria; Pseudomonadati; Pseudomonadota; Alphaproteobacteria; Rhodobacterales; Paracoccaceae
Description: bacterial SSU rRNA
Rfam family: Bacterial small subunit ribosomal RNA
Source: RNAcentral